AUACGUAGGGUGCAAGCGUUAAUCGGAAUUACUGGGCGUAAAGCGUGCGCAGGCGGUUUUGUAAGACAGUGGUGAAAUCCCCGGGCUCAAACUGGGGAAUGCCAUUGUGACUGCAAGGCUGGAGUGCGGCAGAGGGGGAUGGAAUUCCGCGUGUAGCAGUGAAAUGCGUAGAUAUGCGGGGGAACACCGAUGGCGAAGGCAAUCCCCUUGGCCUGCACUGUCGCACAUGCACGCAAGCGUGGGGAGCAAACAGGAUUAGAUACCCUGGUAUCCCACGCCCUAAACGAUGUCAACUGGUUGUUGGGGAUUUAUUUUCUCAGUAACGAAGCUAACGCGUGAAGUUGACCGCCUGGGGAGUACGGCCGCAAGGUUAAAACUCAAAUGAAUUGGCGGGG
This 395-nucleotide ribosomal RNA is filed under the name uncultured bacterium. Its description in RNAcentral is "partial 16S ribosomal RNA". It matches the Rfam family "Bacterial small subunit ribosomal RNA", at positions 523 to 918 of the family's 1533-position model. The record is from RNAcentral.